GCUGUCACCCCACCAGUAAGGUGUUACUGGUAUUGUAAGAACAAGCCAUACCCAAAGUCUCAUUUCUUUGUGGUGUCCCUGAUGCUAAGAUCCGCAUCUUUGACUUGGGAUAGAAGAAAGCGAAAGUUGAUGAAUUCCCACUUUGUGGCCAUAUGGAGUCAGAUGAAUAAGAACAGCUCUCUUCUGAAGCACUAGAGGCUGCCCGUAUUUGUGCCAACAGAUACAUGCUAAAGAGUUGCGGCAAGGAUGGCUUUCAGAUCCGAGUGAGGCUCCACCCUUUCCAUGUCAUCCGUAUCAACAAGAUGUCCAGUGCUGGGGCUGACAGGCUCCGGGUAUGCAUGGUGCCUAUGGGAAGCCCCAGGGCAGAGUGGCCAGGGUUCACAUGGCCAGGUCAUCGUGUCCAUCCACACCAAGCUGCAGGAUAAGGAACGUGAGGCUCUCUGCAGAGCCAAGUUCAAGCUCUCCAGCCAGCAGAAGUCCACAUCUCUAAGAAGCGAGGCUUCACCAGGGUUAAUGCAGAUGAAUGUGAAGGUGUGGUUGCUGAGAAGCAGCCCAUACCUGAUGGCUGUGGUGUCAAAUAUAUCCCCAGUUGUGGUUCCCAGAACAAGUGGAGAGAGCGCAC
This 622-nucleotide long non-coding RNA is filed under the name Mus musculus (house mouse). RNAcentral's name for it is "long non-coding RNA chr8:68798866-68799488". Lineage: Eukaryota; Metazoa; Chordata; Mammalia; Rodentia; Muridae. The record is from RNAcentral.